This 2047-nucleotide long non-coding RNA is filed under the name Vigna radiata. RNAcentral describes it as "long non-coding RNA (VRAD_LNC017937)". Lineage: Eukaryota; Viridiplantae; Streptophyta; Magnoliopsida; Fabales; Fabaceae. The record is from RNAcentral.
UCAAAUCAAAGUGGGAAAGGCUAUAUACAGUGGUCAAAGUAUUCCCGCAGUAGAGAUCAGAAAAUCAGAACCUGAGAAGACAUUAAAGUCAAUGGUCACCAAUUAAAGAACUUUUAGGAGAAACAGCCUCUGGAUUGAAUAAGAUUUCUUUUUCCUUAUCCAUUUUUAAUUUUUGUUUUUGAUUUUAAUUUUUUUUUGUUCCUUUUGUGGAAUAACUGUCUGCUGGUAGCCCACAUGUCUUUUUCACAUGUUUUUUGUUUUUCUGUUUUCGGUGUUGUGUUAUCUGUUUUUGUUUGACAAAAAUUUGGCAAAAUUUUUUGUUUUCUGUUUCUGUAUUUAGCUUCUGUUUCAGUUGUGAAAAUUUGUAUGUCCGAAAAAGAGUUGUCUUAGUAUUUUGUUUAGUUUUUUUAGUAGUUCUUCUAGGUACUUUUGUUUCACUCUUUGCUUACUUUUUGCGGACUGACAUGAUGAAAGUUGUGGUUCUUUUAGUUUGAGAUUGCUGAGUGUGUCAUUAGAUCUAAAUUUGAGUAGAUGAUUUCUAGCGGUCUUUUUUUGCAUUUUGAUUCAAUUGAGUUAAGUAGUUUUUCCAUGAUAGAGAAGUAGCAUUUCAGUUUUGACAAAUAUGAACCCCUGAGAGACUUUGAGCCUUAAUUCUUCAUUUUUGUGUGAUUGCAUGCAUGGAGGGUUACAUUUCGGAAUUUGCACUGAUUCUUUUUGGUAUGCUUGGCCUUGGAUGCACUCUAGAUAUGAUUUAGGCCCUUUUUGUUCCAGCCACUUAGCCAAAAAUGACUCACCCUGAUAUUUUGCCAUUGCACCUGAUUUUUUGAGCUUGAAUUGACCUUUCCUUCUUUAAUUACCCUGUUACAAGCCAAGAGACCUGAAAAACCAUGAAUUACCUAACUUGUGAGUAUAAGAAGGUCAAGGUGCAUGUGCAGUUGCUGAUUUGAAAAAAAAAUAUCAAAAUUGGUUGAGUGUUAAAACAAUGUCUGAAAUGACUGAAAAAGAAAAAAAAAUGAGGAAAGAAAAAGUGGUCUGAAUCAUACAAAAAGAAAAAAAAUGAGGAAAGAAAAAGAUGUAAAAAAGAAGAGUGGGUCAUAGAAUUACUUGAGCUGAAAAUGCACUUGAAUUUCAUACUACCACCUUGCUUUCUCAUGCUCACAGGUUCAUAGCUUUGAAUUCCUUUUCUGAANCCUACCCCCAACCUGACCACANUACAAGCUGAGAUGAANUCCUAGUGAUUUNGAGUGUGNCUUGGAUUAAGUGAUGCUAGUUAGAAGCUUUUCAAAUUCAUGAACUGUGCUUUGUCAUGUUUUGCUGAGUGAUAUAUACAAGCCAAUACACAUUNAGCGGUUGAGUGCAAACACUUUUCUUGUGAGGUGAAAUCUGAGAUGUUGUUGAUCUUGAUUGUUUCCUACUUGAUUUUGAUUGAAUUAAUAUGUGUUUUUUGACUUGUUGGCUUUCAUGAAACUUGAAUUUGGAGGGUUGAUGGCCAUUUGGCANAUUUAAGCUAGAGUAAUACAGCUGAGUUGUGCAAAUUUGUAAAUAGAAGUGAAUUGUGAUAGUUUGUUUAGAAUUGUGUCAGUUUUGUUUGCCCAGUCCAAGAGGGUAGUGUUCUAAGCGUGGGUCUGUGUUAACCUUGCAUUUUUUAUCCUUUUUCCUUCAUAAAAUUUCCUUCUUAGUGUUAAUUACUUUGUAAAAUUUUAGAAUUAGGUUAGACUUUAGUUUUAAGUGCACAAAUAGAGGUUUGUAGAUAUUAUUUUUAAAAUUGUUUUUAAAUAAAAAUUGUGUCUAGAAUAAAAGGCUGUCAACGGUAAAUAUUCCUUAUUGAAUUAAGGCCAUGAUUUGAUUUUACAAGCUUGCCUGAAAAUUGUAUUCUAUAUGUGAUAUAAUUCAUGAUGAAAUAGUUAACCAAACGCCUUGGUAUUAAUUUGCAGAUAUUCAGCAAUUACAAUUUGAAGCCCAGCAUCCGUGGUUGUGACAUGCAGAAAUUUGUGAAAUUUUUUGUAAUUAUCAGAUGUUUCAAAUCACUUCAGAACCUCACAACAUA